CCCUGCUCUUCGGAGCCAGAAAUGACUCAAACUUCACAAACAGCCGGGGCCUGCCAGGGAGGGUGACAAUGAGCGCUGGAGCGGGUUUUCUCCCCCUGGUUGGUGUCUCCUCACCCCCGCUUGCUGCAGUGGCAGAUUCUGGACAGUGUGUAGCCUGUGAGGUAAUCUGAAUUCCUUGGCAACCGGCAAGUACCUGAAUUCUUUCAAAACCGCAGGAAUCCAGCAGAGAAAAGACCAUCUGUGACGCACAGUGGCCCGAGAAUCUUCCUAUCUUAUUACCACUGCAUGAAAGCACAAUGUGAUCCUGGAUCCCAGCUAGGAAAGGCGAGUGUGUACAUAUAGAGGCUUACUCAUGUGCGCGGAUAUGCAGAGCCUGCUGUGGACCAACACUGAACCACUGGUCCCAGCGUGGGCAACAAGUGCUCUCAGAGGAAUGGCCUCUCCGAGGGGAAGCAGGAGAACUGUGACCAUCCCUGACGCGAGUCCCAGAGGAUGAACACCCCACUGCGUGACCGGACCAGACGGCA
This is a long non-coding RNA of Cervus elaphus (red deer), 527 nucleotides long. RefSeq lists it as uncharacterized. The transcript is spliced from 3 exons. Lineage: Eukaryota; Metazoa; Chordata; Mammalia; Artiodactyla; Cervidae. The record is from RefSeq and is a predicted model, not a curated record.